RNAcentral lists this ribosomal RNA (267 nucleotides) under uncultured bacterium. Its description in RNAcentral is "partial 16S ribosomal RNA". It matches the Rfam family "Bacterial small subunit ribosomal RNA", at positions 793 to 1055 of the family's 1533-position model. The record is from RNAcentral.
GUCCUAGCCUUAAACGGUGCACGUUUGCUGUGAGAGUAAUCGACCCCUUUCGUGGCGAAGCUAACGCGUUAAACGUGCCGCCUGGGGAGUACGGUCGCAAGAUUAAAACUCAAAGAAAUUGACGGGGGCCUGCACAAGCGGUGGAGUAUGUGGCUCAAUUCGAUGCAACGCGAAGAACCUUACCUGGCCUUGACAUGCAGGUGGUAGAAGCCCGAAAGGGUAACGACCCCGCAAGGGGAGCCUGCACAGGUGCUGCAUGGCUGUCGU